This 73-nucleotide transfer RNA is filed under the name Marinitoga piezophila KA3. It matches the Rfam family "tRNA". From Rfam's summary of the family: Transfer RNA (tRNA) molecules are approximately 80 nucleotides in length. Their secondary structure includes four short double-helical elements and three loops (D, anti-codon, and T loops). Lineage: Bacteria; Thermotogati; Thermotogota; Thermotogae; Petrotogales; Petrotogaceae. The record is from Rfam by way of RNAcentral.
GCGGGUGUAGCUCAGCUGGUAGAGCGUCAGCUUCCCAAGCUGAAUGUCGCGGGUUCGAAUCCCGUCGCCCGCU